Molecule: ribosomal RNA, 353 nt
Filed under: Silvatares ensifer
Lineage: Eukaryota; Metazoa; Arthropoda; Insecta; Trichoptera; Pisuliidae
Description: eukaryotic LSU rRNA
Rfam family: Eukaryotic large subunit ribosomal RNA
Source: RNAcentral
CGGACCAAGGAGUCUAGCAUGUGCGCGAGUCAUUGGGAACGAUCGUAAACCCAGAGGCGAAAUGAAAGUGAAAGGCGCCCCCCCGCGGGGCGCCGCAGGGAAGAUGCGCGGACGGCGCCAGCCGCCCCGCCGCAUUCCCGAGGCGUUUCGAGAAAGCCACCGCGUGACUAUCGAGACGCACUGAGAGCGUACACGCUGGGACCCGAAAGAUGGUGAACUAUGCCUGGUCAGGUCGAAGUCAGGGGAAACCCUGAUGGAGGACCGAAGCGAUUCUGACGUGCAAAUCGAUCGUCCGAACUGGGUAUAGGGGCGAAAGACUAAUCGAACUAUCUAAUAGCUGGUUCCAUCCGAAG